UGGGGAAUUUUGGACAAUGGGCGAAAGCCUGAUCCAGCAAUGCCGCGUGUGUGAAGAAGGCCUUCGGGUUGUAAAGCACUUUUGUCCGGAAAGAAAUCCUUGGCUCUAAUACAGUCGGGGGAUGACGGUACCGGAAGAAUAAGCACCGGCUAACUACGUGCCAGCAGCCGCGGUAAUACGUAGGGUGCAAGCGUUAAUCGGAAUUACUGGGCGUAAAGCGUGCGCAGGCGGUUUGCUAAGACCGAUGUGAAAUCCCCGGGCUCAACCUGGGAACUGCAUUGGUGACUGGCAGGCUAGAGUAUGGCAGAGGGGGGUAGAAUUCCACGUGUAGCAGUGAAAUGCGUAGAGAUGUGGAGGAAUACCGAUGGCGAAGGCAGCCCCCUGGGCCAAUACUGACGCUCAUGCACGAAAGCGUGGGGGAGCAAAACAGGAUUAGAUACCCUGGUAGUCCACGCCCUAAACGAUGUCAACUAGUUGUUGGGGAUUCAUUCCUUAGUAACGUAGCUAACGCGUGAAGUUGACCGCCUGGGGAGUACGGUCGCAAGAUUAAAACUCAAAUGAAUUGACGGGGUC
RNAcentral lists this ribosomal RNA (573 nucleotides) under uncultured bacterium. RNAcentral's name for it is "partial 16S ribosomal RNA". It matches the Rfam family "Bacterial small subunit ribosomal RNA", at positions 355 to 920 of the family's 1533-position model. The record is from RNAcentral.